GAUGAAGAACGUAGCGAACUGCGAUACUUGGUGUGAAUUGCAGAAUCCCGUGAACCAUCGAGUCUUUGAACGCAAGUUGCGCCCGAAGCCACUAGGCCGAGGGCACGCCUGCCUGGGCGUCACACGCCGUUGCCCCCCCAUCUACUCCUUCGGGAUUGCGGGGGGGCGGAUGAUGGCCUCCUGUGCGCCUAGCCGCGCGGUUGGCAUAAAUACCAAGUCCUCGGCGACGCACGCCACGACAAUCGGUGGUUGCGAAACCUCGGUUGCCCGUCGUGUGCGUUCGUCGCGCAUCGAGGGCUCGAAAAAAUGCUCGGCUCCGGCUGGGCUUUCAACGCGACCCCAGGUCAGGCGGGGUUACCCGCUGAAUUUAAGCAUAUCAAUAAGCGGAGGA
This 391-nucleotide unclassified non-coding RNA is filed under the name soil metagenome. Its description in RNAcentral is "partial contains 5.8S ribosomal RNA, internal transcribed spacer 2, and large subunit ribosomal RNA". The stretch from base 1 to 122 matches the Rfam family "5.8S ribosomal RNA", at positions 35 to 154 of the family's 154-position model. The record is from RNAcentral.